Molecule: ribosomal RNA, 618 nt
Filed under: uncultured Thelephoraceae
Lineage: Eukaryota; Fungi; Basidiomycota; Agaricomycetes; Thelephorales; Thelephoraceae
Description: eukaryotic LSU rRNA
Rfam family: 5.8S ribosomal RNA (bases 204-358)
Source: RNAcentral
CAUUACCGAACCGUCGACACGAGUUGUCGCUGGCCCUCAAAAGGGGCACGUGCACGCUCUGUUUACACAUCCACUCACACCUGUGCACCCUCUGUAGUUCUGUGGCCUCGGGGACCCUGUCCCCUUGCCCGGUCCUACGUCUUUACACACACGCCGUAACGAAGUCUCAUGGAGUGUACGUCGCGUUUAACGCAAUACAAUACAACUUUCAGCAACGGAUCUCUUGGCUCUCGCAUCGAUGAAGAACGCAGCGAAAUGCGAUAAGUAAUGUGAAUUGCAGAAUUCAGUGAAUCAUCGAAUCUUUGAACGCACCUUGCGCCCUUUGGCUAUUCUGAAGGGCAUGCCUGUUUGAGUAUCAUGAACAUCUCAACUCUCAUGGUCUGCCAUGAUGAGCUUGGACUUUGGGGGUCUUGCCGGCCUAGCGUCGGCUCCUCUCAAACGCAUCAGCUUCCCAGUGUUUGGUGGCGUCACGGGCGUGAUAACUAUCUACGCUCGUGGUUCUCCACCAUGUAACCUUCAGCGAUGGAGGUUCGCUGGUGCUCACAGAUGUCUCUCCUCUGCGAGGACGGCUUUUGAACGUUUGAUCUCAAAUCAGGUAGGACUACCCGCUGAACUUAA